This 405-nucleotide ribosomal RNA is filed under the name uncultured bacterium. RNAcentral describes it as "partial 16S ribosomal RNA". It matches the Rfam family "Bacterial small subunit ribosomal RNA", at positions 30 to 526 of the family's 1533-position model. The record is from RNAcentral.
AUUGAACGCUGGCGGCAGGCUUAACACAUGCAAGUCGAACGAGAGGCGGACGGGAGGGUAAUGCAUGGGAAUCUAGCUUAGGGAGGGGGAUAGCUACGGGGAACUAUAGCUACUACCGCGUUCCAUAGCCUGAGCCCAAGUGGGAUUAGGUCGUUGGUGAGGUAAAGGCUUACCAAGCCGACGAUCUCUAGCUGGUCUGAGAGGAGGACCAGCCACACUGGGACUGAGACACGGCCCAGACUCCUACGGGAGGCAGCAGUGGGGAAUAUUGCGCAAUGGGGGCAACCUGACGCAGCCAUGCCGCGUGAAUGAAGAAGGCCUUCGGGUUGUAAAGUUCUUUCGGUAGCGAGGCGUUAACUACAGAAGAAGCACCGGCUAACUCCGUGCCAGCCGCCGCGGUAAUAC